GUAACUCAACCUAUCAAUGCUUUAGCCUUCGUUUUCGAUGGAGUUAACUACGGAGCUUCCGAUUUUUCAUAUUCAGCCUACUCCAUGGUUGCGGUUGCAGUCGUGAGCAUCUCCUGCUUGUUCAUACUAUCCUCCAGCCAUGGCUAUCUCGGCAUCUGGAUUGCUUUGACCAUCUUCAUGUGUUUACGUGUGUUUGUUGGUCUUUUGAGGAUAGGAACUGGUAUGGGACCUUGGUCUUUUCUCCGGAGCUGAGUGCU
Long non-coding RNA from Hibiscus syriacus, 257 nucleotides. RefSeq lists it as uncharacterized. The transcript has 3 exons. NCBI's taxonomy places the organism in Eukaryota, Viridiplantae, Streptophyta, Magnoliopsida, Malvales, Malvaceae. The record is from RefSeq and is a predicted model, not a curated record.